This 1813-nucleotide long non-coding RNA is filed under the name Anser brachyrhynchus (Pink-footed goose). RNAcentral describes it as "lncRNA (ENSABRG00000003470.1)". The record is from RNAcentral. Lineage: Eukaryota; Metazoa; Chordata; Aves; Anseriformes; Anatidae.
GAAUUUGAGCAUUUUAUGUACUUUGUUACUGAUUGUUACUGGCUGAAAGAUUAACAAAAUUGGAUACAGUGUUCACUUGAGAUGGAAAAGGAAAUUCUGAAUAAAUGGUGUAACAUUUUUUUUUGUAUUGUGGCAUGAUAGCAAACUUUGCUAUUUGAGAUUGAGAUUACCUGCGUAAAACAUCGUUCCUCAGAUAUCUCUAAGUGUAUGUGAAUGUUACCUUUUCUCCGGGGCUUAAAAAACCCACAGUAGUCGUUUUUGCAGGUUUCAGUUCAUCAGUGUAUGACAGGUUUAACAGGCCUAAGUAUAGCACUGAACACAUUUUGAGUAUCUGACAACUCUAAAUAUAUUUAGACUUUGGAUUGGCCUGCUAAAUUUUGUCAAUACAGCCACAGCAGGGAGGUGGGUCAUGAUAUCCUAAAAAUUGAGAUAUAAGUAGCUUAAAGCUGAUCACAUGUGCUCUGCAGCUGCUUUAACAAAUGUGUUCUCUCUGUGUAACGAUAUUUAUUGGUGAAGGCUGUCAUUUGUGAUAUGAAAAUGAUAUACAAUAACCCCAUAUAGGUCCAGGCUGAAUUUUCUGUCAGAGUAUUACAGAAGCUCAUGGAAAUGGAAGGUCUGAAGUCCUUAUAGUAAAUCAUCCAUCAGUGUAUUGCUGGCAAGAUAUAUCCAAAACUCUAUGCAUGAACGCACUUGAUUCUCCUUUUUUUUAUGUAGUUUGCGGGGCAGAGGGGAGUUGUCUGGCUGUUUUUUGUUUUUGUUGUUGUUGGGUGGUGGGUUUUUUUUUCAUUCUGAUCUUUCUUGAUGAUUCUGGCCUUAGGCCAAGGCAUUGAGUUAGAGUUCCACUUGAGCAUGUACUUUUUGAGUUCUGUAUUAAAAUUGGUUUUCUUUACAGCUGAUUCUUGUCUUUGAUUUGACUUGCAGUGCACGAACCUGUCAGAAUUGCUUAUGAUAGGCCUCGUGGUUGCCCAGUUACAAAGAAGAAGAAGAAACCAAAAGAUUUAGAAUUCUCACACAAGAAACUGACAAACAGGAAUGUAGGUUUCCAGAUGCUUCAGAAGAUGGGCUGGCAAGAAGGACAUGGCCUGGGUACACGAGGAAAAGGAAUCAGAGAGCCUGUAAAAGUGUAUGUAAUGGGAACAAAAUACAGAAAUCUGACAGCUGUGGAAAAGGCUGGGAUUCUAGUAGCAACUAUUUUUAUCUAACCCACCUUGAUGUGGCCAGUUCCGUGUUUUGUUUCCUUCUUGAUGUUGGCCUCUGGCCUCAGCAAAGUUGAGCGUGAAGACUUCACGCGUAUUUCUGGCCAGGCUGGGCAAAGUGUGGUCUGGAAGGUGGCUGUUCCUUGCUGUACAAUUUGACAUCACUGAAGGCUGCAGUGUGAACGCUGCAGGGUGUGGACACUUCUAAAGAUACCUGGGUGCCUCUGUUAUUCAGGAGGUGUUUUGUUUGGCGUAUUUAUUUAUUUUUUAACACCUAGUAUUAUCCUGGGAAUCUCCUUACUGCCAUACUAGGUACAUUCAUAGCACAUAAAUAGAUUUUAGGAAUAUUAUAAACAGUACUCCCUAGGUUUAGGCAACAAAAUAUUUUCACUGUAAAUACAUGAUGCAUUCCACUGCGUGCCGAAAGAGGUAAGUGCAUCUGCAAGGUAAGUGUGCUUUUUCCUUUAAAGUGUAGUUUUGUUUUUGAAUCUUCAUUUUGUCUUUUAAAGUUGCUGUAUCCAGUGUCCACUGCUGCCAGCACAGAGAACGGAUAAUAUCUUCUUCAGCUCCCUGACUGAAUAAGGAGGCAGAAAUCAAUUUAUUUCUAUCUAAACCCG